GCAGGCUCGGCCCUGCUGCUAGCUGAGUGCAAUCAUCAUUCUCACCGCAGCUCGCCGCGCCUGAGCAGCGACGCGCACACGCCUCUCGCCUUCAUGUAUGCCACCUGAACAACCGCUAAGCAGGACGCCCACCGCCCGUCAAUGCC
Molecule: ribosomal RNA, 146 nt
Filed under: Chrysoculter rhomboideus
Lineage: Eukaryota; Haptophyta
Description: partial Archaeal small subunit ribosomal RNA
Source: RNAcentral